RNAcentral lists this long non-coding RNA (740 nucleotides) under Taeniopygia guttata (zebra finch). Its description in RNAcentral is "lncRNA (ENSTGUG00000022479.1)". Lineage: Eukaryota; Metazoa; Chordata; Aves; Passeriformes; Estrildidae. The record is from RNAcentral.
CUUGUAUGUAAUUCUGCUUUUCUUUUUUCCUAUAGAUUUCUUAGUAAUCUGUACAGUUCUCUGCGCUGGACUCUCACUUUUCAGAAUGAUGAAAGCAUGUUGCACAGGAGUCACAGAUACUGCUGCUGAGUUGGGGAUCACUGAAGCACAACGAGCUUCACACUGAGAUCAAACCUUGUGGAUCAACAGCACAGGAUCAAGAUGUUAUCACCUUGGGAUACCAGAAUUCAGGGAGGUCUGGUCACUGACUUUAAGUGACUAGGAUGGUAAGAAAAGGGCACUUCUUACCAUUAUAGCAAUGCUAUUUGACUGCCUCUGUUACCUUUUCUGAUUGCUGUCAGGGAUUACAGACUGCCAGUACUACAUUCCUGUUUCCCUUCCUGUCACUGAUGCAAGAUUUUGGGCCGCUGCCUAGAAGAGAUCUCUAUAACAGAGGUCCCUUCUGUCCUUUUUUCCCCUGACAGAAUGAAUAUUCUCUAGUUCCAUAAACGGCUGUUUUCAAAGGAGAAUGAGGAGUCCUUUCAUAACCUUGAACUGAGGCAUCUUCAUCUUGGGGAAAGAGUUUCCUCUAAACCCUUCAUUUUUGAAUAAUUUGCAGUAGAAAUUGAUGCCACACUUCUCCCUUUAGGACAGAAAGGGCAGAAGUGAGCUCCCUUCCUUAUUUGAUAGUUUCCUUAUCCUCACUGAGGGUUUCUGUUCCUCCACAGAAGGGACACAGUGCUCAGUAGUGAGGAGUAAAC